Molecule: ribosomal RNA, 253 nt
Filed under: uncultured bacterium
Lineage: Bacteria
Description: partial 16S ribosomal RNA
Rfam family: Bacterial small subunit ribosomal RNA
Source: RNAcentral
UACAGGGGGUGCAAACGUUGCUCGGAAUCAUUGGGCGUAAAGCGCACGUAGGCGGUUCGUUAUGUCGGAUGUGAAAGCCCUUGGCUUAACCGAGGAAGUGCAUCCGAAACUGGCGAGCUAGAGUACGAAAGAGGAUCGCGGAAUUCCCGGUGUAGAGGUGGAAUGCGCAGAUAUCAGGAGGAACACCGGUGGCGAAGGCGGGUCUCUGGGCCAUUACUGACGCUGAGGAGCGAAAGCGUGGGGAGCGAACAGG